Galeopterus variegatus (Sunda flying lemur) is the source of this 632-nucleotide long non-coding RNA. RefSeq lists it as uncharacterized. The transcript is spliced from 3 exons. The record is from RefSeq and is a predicted model, not a curated record. Lineage: Eukaryota; Metazoa; Chordata; Mammalia; Dermoptera; Cynocephalidae.
ACCCUUGGUUAUCAUUACAGAACUAUGGAGGUGCAAUGAGACCCCCACUGAAUGCUUUAGGUGGCCCUGGAAUGCCUGGAAUGAACAUGGGUCCAGGUGGUGGUAGACCUUGGCCAAACCCCACAAAUGCCAAUUCAAUACCAUACUCCUCAGCAUCUCCUGGGAAUUAUGUAGUAAGUACAUUUUGGGUUUGUUUGCUCGUAAGAAUUGAUGUUACAUUUUAUUGGGCAAUGAAAUAGUUGUCCAGAUGUUAAGAAGAGCCCCUGUGUAUUGGCCAAGAAGUGAACAUCUUGAGUGGUUUCAUCUGCCAACCUCAGUACAUAUGUUGAUGUUCAUUAGAGAAACAGUUAUCAAUCUGUCUGGAAUUGCCCUGAGUACUGUUUUACUUUAGCAUAUGUUUCUGAAAACCAGUACAGUACAUUCUGUCCAAUCAUGAAGAGAGUCAUCCCCAGUUACACAAUGAAAUGUUCAAAUUUGCAGUUCUCCAGGAAAAUAAUCUACACCCUGUCCCCAACCGUAUGUAACACACACAAAGUCUAAAAAGACAUUAAACUUUCUCCCAAUCACAAAGUGAAUCAGACAACAGAAUAAUCACUAGUAAUCUGGAGAGAUCUUUUAGUUUUUUAUCAUUC